UCCUCGGUAGCUCAGCGGUAGAGCAGUCGACUGUUAAUCGACCGGUCGUAGGUUCGAAUCCUACCCGGGGAGCCA
RNAcentral lists this transfer RNA (75 nucleotides) under Sphingopyxis panaciterrae. Its description in RNAcentral is "tRNA-Asn". It matches the Rfam family "tRNA". Rfam says of the family: Transfer RNA (tRNA) molecules are approximately 80 nucleotides in length. Their secondary structure includes four short double-helical elements and three loops (D, anti-codon, and T loops). Further hydrogen bonds mediate the characteristic L-shaped molecular structure. tRNAs have two regions of fundamental functional importance: the anti-codon, which is responsible for specific mRNA codon recognition, and the 3' end, to which the tRNAs corresponding amino acid is attached (by aminoacyl-tRNA synthetases). tRNAs cope with the degeneracy of the genetic code in two manners: having more than one tRNA (with a specific anti-codon) for a particular amino acid; and 'wobble' base-pairing, i.e. permitting non-standard base-pairing at the 3rd anti-codon position. Lineage: Bacteria; Pseudomonadati; Pseudomonadota; Alphaproteobacteria; Sphingomonadales; Sphingopyxidaceae. RNAcentral also lists the same sequence under 8 other names. The record is from RNAcentral.